UGAGUAAUGUCUGGGAAACUGCCCGAUGGAGGGGGAUAACUACUGGAAACGGUAGCUAAUACCGCAUAACGUCUUCGGACCAAAGUGGGGGACCUUCGGGCCUCACACCAUCGGAUGUGCCCAGAUGGGAUUAGCUAGUAGGUGGGGUAAUGGCUCACCUAGGCGACGAUCCCUAGCUGGUCUGAGAGGAUGACCAGCCACACUGGAACUGAGACACGGUCCAGACUCCUACGGGAGGCAGCAGUGGGGAAUAUUGCACAAUGGGCGCAAGCCUGAUGCAGCCAUGCCGCGUGUAUGAAGAAGGCCUUCGGGUUGUAAAGUACUUUCAGCGGGGAGGAAGGCGGUGAAGUUAAUAACUUCACCGAUUGACGUUACCCGCAGAAGAAGCACCGGCUAACUCCGUGCCAGCAGCCGCGGUAAUACGGAGGGUGCAAGCGUUAAUCGGAAUUACUGGGCGUAAAGCGCACGCAGGCGGUCUGUCAAGUCGGAUGUGAAAUCCCCGGG
RNAcentral lists this ribosomal RNA (504 nucleotides) under uncultured bacterium. RNAcentral describes it as "bacterial SSU rRNA". It matches the Rfam family "Bacterial small subunit ribosomal RNA", at positions 107 to 607 of the family's 1533-position model. The record is from RNAcentral.